CUCAAAGGGAAGACGUACAUUUGUCUUCUAUUUUUAACCUCUCUAUAUUUUUAGAAGAAAAGUUUUGGUUUUAUUGUUACAUGGAAAAAUUAUAUAUAUAUAUAAUUUCUUUCAUUAGUAUAAGUAAAUCAUGCACGACGAAAAUAAAGGUAAAAUGAACAAUUUACGACCUCAUCAAAAUGAACUACAUCAAUUGGGAGAAUUAGCAGGAGUUUAUAUGGAUUCCAAAGUAUUUAGAUUACUUGUGGAAUUAUUGAACAUGGGAUAUGAUCCAGAUACAAUUUACAAUCUAUUGAGAAUUAUCAAAAGAUCGAAAACUUCAAAGUCUAGAUCAUCAACAAUUUCUCAAAAAACGAAAAGUUAGAUAAUUUAACUAUUAUUGAGCAUAUUUUUACUUAUUUAAAUAAAAAUUUAUGUUCUCUUUUUAAAAGAUUUUACUAUUUAAUUUAUCAAUUUACAAUUUUUUGUAAUGGAAUACUUUUUAUAUUAAUAGAAUGAAUCAUAACUAUUGUUGCUACUAUAUUGUAAGUUAAAUUUUAAAAAGGUGUGAAAAAAAACAAAACCCAGACUGGAAUUGAAUUCAAUAUCUGGUAACACAGCAUUAAAGUAUAAAUUAAGGUUGGUUUAUGCAGACAAAAUUAAAAAUCAACAUUAAACUAACACAAAUUUAAUCACUAUUUGAAUGACACUGAAAUGGUACAUGUAGAUCAUGCAGGAAAUUAAGAGAAAAUUAAACUUACAGUUGGCCAAAUUUUAACUUUUAACUAACAAAGAGAGGAGGAGUCAUAUGGAGACGAUGACAUAAUUAUAAAAUAAUAAUAAUGUAAAUGCUGACAGAACAUUUCCCCCAUUAUUUGUGUUCAAAUGUUUGAGAACAUUUUUUUAUAUUAUCAACAGACAUAUGUUAACACAAUAAAUAUCAUUUUUCAUUAUACUUUAUUCAGCAUUCUUGUUUCCUUUUUAUUCAUUAAGUAAUUCUAGAAGGAAGCAGUCUUUGUUCAAAUCAUCAAAUUAAGAAUCGUUAAGUAUAAAAUAGAAUGUUAAAAAAAGUUAAUUUUCACUUAGGUAAUUUAACUCGGGUAUAUCAAACGGGCCGCGCGCCUUCGUGAAUUUUAGAAUUCCACUAGAACAGUGUGAAUACUCCGAGCAUUCAAACUACAGAUUCCAGGUUCGAAUCUGGUCUGGGAAGAUUUAUUUUUUAAUGUUUUUAUGUGUACAGAACUAAAUAAAAAUAUUUAGUAGUAUUUUAAAUGAUAAAAUUAUAAAAACCGAUUUUUUAUAACAAAACAAUAUAAUAUAUGUAGCUAUAUAAAGAAAGCAUCUGGCAUCAGUAAUUAAUGAUUCAUUAAUCACUGCCGUGAUUAAUGGGUGUUAUUGUUCGAGCAAGCAGACAUAUAAUGGGCACAUUAUACAACAGUAAUGGAUAAAUAAAAUCAAAAGCGAA
Long non-coding RNA from Diorhabda carinulata, 1444 nucleotides. RefSeq lists it as uncharacterized. Lineage: Eukaryota; Metazoa; Arthropoda; Insecta; Coleoptera; Chrysomelidae. The transcript is spliced from 2 exons. The record is from RefSeq and is a predicted model, not a curated record.